CCAGGGGUGAACCAACGCAAAAGAAAGUGGGUUCACCUAACACCACAAAAAUGAUAUAAAUCAGGGUUUGUAAACAAGUAUUUUAUUAUUGAUAGUAGCAUAUUUGACUGAAAAGUGUAUUAAUGAACCAUACAAUCUGGGUUCAAGACCCUCUAUGACUUUUUUAUAUUUUUAACUCCUCAAAAAAAAAAAAAAAAAAACAAUUUGGGUUCGCUACUGGCCAAGACUCGAGUUCAUGAAGUGGUUUUACACACUUUCCAGGAACACCCACAUGUGCACGGUAGCUAGAACCCUCCGUUUUACUUCAGGGCGACAAAUCAUUAUGCUUUCGUUGGGCCAUCUUAAUCAUUAGGAUCUCGCCAAGGCCCCCACAGCUAAAUCCUUUUCGGGGUGCACGCUAGUGGACAGUCUAGCUAGUUAACUUUUUCA
RNAcentral lists this long non-coding RNA (429 nucleotides) under Brassica rapa (field mustard). RNAcentral's name for it is "long non-coding RNA (BRAP_LNC005241)". The record is from RNAcentral. Lineage: Eukaryota; Viridiplantae; Streptophyta; Magnoliopsida; Brassicales; Brassicaceae.